This 425-nucleotide ribosomal RNA is filed under the name uncultured bacterium. RNAcentral describes it as "partial 16S ribosomal RNA". It matches the Rfam family "Bacterial small subunit ribosomal RNA", at positions 354 to 796 of the family's 1533-position model. The record is from RNAcentral.
GUGGGGAAUCUUAGACAAUGGGCGCAAGCCUGAUCUAGCCAUGCCGCGUGAGCGAUGAAGGCCUUAGGGUUGUAAAGCUCUUUCAGCUGGGAAGAUAAUGAUGGUACCAGCAGAAGAAGCCCCGGCUAACUCCGUGCCAGCAGCCGCGGUAAUACGGAGGGGGCUAGCGUUGUUCGGAAUUACUGGGCGUAAAGCGCACGUAGGCGGAUCAGAAAGUCAGAGGUGAAAUCCCAGGGCUCAACCUUGGAACUGCCUUUGAAACUCCUGAUCUUGAGGUCGAGAGAGGUGAGUGGAAUUCCGAGUGUAGAGGUGAAAUUCGUAGAUAUUCGGAGGAACACCAGUGGCGAAGGCGGCUCACUGGCUCGAUACUGACGCUGAGGUGCGAAAGCGUGGGGAGCAAACAGGAUUAGAAACCCCGGUAGUCC